GGGAAACUGACCAACAAACUGCACGUGCUUCUGCUGAGCUGGAGAAGAUGUUGGCUACCUGCCUGCUGCCCAUCUCGGGUGAUAUUUCCACUGAAUACUGUGGUUCCUACUCCUUCAGAUGUGUGUCUCAUCUCAGAGUCUACUUCUGGGAACUGAAUGUCAGACAGGCAGAGAUUGCUGUACUCUAAUUGGAUGACCUUUGAAAAAACCAUUGCUGAGUCAUCAUGGUCUUAAUGUGGGAAAGCCUAGGUCUCCAUUUCUUUUCUCCAUCUAAAGACAAAUGUCCAAAGUAAAUCUUUAAAUGCAACA
This is a long non-coding RNA of Suricata suricatta (meerkat), 309 nucleotides long. RefSeq lists it as uncharacterized. The record is from RefSeq and is a predicted model, not a curated record. The transcript has 3 exons. NCBI's taxonomy places the organism in Eukaryota, Metazoa, Chordata, Mammalia, Carnivora, Herpestidae.